UCGGCGGCUUCGGCAAGCCGGGCCGGCUGAGUCGGCUCGUCCUCGGUCUGAUCGGCAGAAGCGCUGUGGCCCUUGGUGUCCGGCUCUUCGCCGUCGAUC
Molecule: transfer RNA, 99 nt
Filed under: Mycolicibacterium litorale
Lineage: Bacteria; Bacillati; Actinomycetota; Actinomycetes; Mycobacteriales; Mycobacteriaceae
Description: tRNA-Thr
Source: RNAcentral